Molecule: ribosomal RNA, 225 nt
Filed under: uncultured bacterium
Lineage: Bacteria
Description: partial 16S ribosomal RNA
Rfam family: Bacterial small subunit ribosomal RNA
Source: RNAcentral
ACUCCUACGGGAGGCAGCAGUGGGAAUCUUAGACAAUGGGGGCAAGCCCAUGAUCUAGCCAUGCCGCGUGAGUGACGAAGGCCUUAGGGUCGUAAAGCUCUUUCGCUGGAGAAGAUAAUGACGGUAUCCAGUAAAGAACCCCGGCUAACUCCGUGCCAGCAGCCGCGGUAAGUACGUAGGGUGCAAGCGUUAAUCGGAAUUACUGGGCGUAAAGCGUGCGCAGGC